Stenotrophomonas terrae is the source of this 354-nucleotide non-coding RNA. It matches the Rfam family "transfer-messenger RNA". From Rfam's summary of the family: Bacterial tmRNA, also known as 10Sa RNA or SsrA, is named for its dual tRNA and mRNA-like properties. Its role is to liberate the mRNA from a stalled ribosome. The record is from Rfam. Lineage: Bacteria; Pseudomonadati; Pseudomonadota; Gammaproteobacteria; Lysobacterales; Lysobacteraceae.
GGGGGUGCACUGGUUUCGACGGGGGUUGUGAAGUCGCUUGGCGCAUGCCGAGGGGGUAGCUUUCCUCGUAAAUCCAGCUGCAAAACUCUAGUUGCCAACGACGACAACUACGCUCUCGCCGCUUAAGGCGUAAGCCCCGAACCCACUUGUGCCCGUGCUCGUGGAUGUAGGGUCAUUAUCACGGAACCGGCUGUGACGGCUGCCUGUCAGUCACGGCUUAACCAAAACAGGCUGGUCCUGGGGUGCGCUUUGCACACCGUGCUGCCACAGGGCGAGAUCCAACGGUGAGCUAAGCAUGUAGUGCUGGGGAUGGAGUGCCUUCGGACGGCGGUUCAAUUCCGCCCACCUCCACCA